GACGAACGCUGGCGGCGUGCUUAACACAUGCAAGUCGAACGGAAAGGCCCUGCUUGCGGGGUACUCUAGUGGCGAACGGGUGAGUAACACGUGGGUGAUCUGCCCUGCACUUCGGGUUAAGCCUGGGAAACUGGGUCUAAUACCGGGUAGGUGCCACUUUUAUUGUGUGGGUUGGAGAGUUUUUUCGGUGUAGGAUGAGCUCGCGGCCUAUCAGCUUGUUGGUGGGGUAAUGGCCUACCAAGGCGGCGACGGGUAGCCGGCCCGAGAGGGUGGACGGCCACACUGGGCAUGGGAGCCGGCCCAGACCCCUACGUGAGGCAGGAGUGGGGAAUAUUGCACCAUGGGCGGAAGCCUGAUGCAGCGACGCCGCGUGGGGGAUGACGGCCUUCGGGUUGCAAACUCCGUUCGCCAGGGACGAAGCCCUUUGUGACGGUACCUAGAUAAGAAGCACCGGCUAACUACGUG
RNAcentral lists this ribosomal RNA (465 nucleotides) under uncultured bacterium. RNAcentral's name for it is "partial 16S ribosomal RNA". It matches the Rfam family "Bacterial small subunit ribosomal RNA", at positions 28 to 507 of the family's 1533-position model. The record is from RNAcentral.